GACGUAGGGAGCGAGCGUUGUCCGGAUUUACUGGGCGUAAAGAGCACGUAGGCGGUCUGUUAAGUGAGAAGUGAAAUCUCCAGCGCUCAACGCGGAAACGGCUUUUCAUACUGGCAGACUUGAGGAAUGCAGAGGCAAGUAGAAUUCCUGGUGUACCGGUGACAUGGGUUGAUAUCAGGAGGAAUACCAAUGGCGAAGGCAGCUUGCUGGGCAUUAUCUGACGCUGAGGUGCGAAAGCGUGGGUAGCAAACAGG
Molecule: ribosomal RNA, 254 nt
Filed under: uncultured prokaryote
Description: partial 16S ribosomal RNA
Rfam family: Bacterial small subunit ribosomal RNA
Source: RNAcentral